GAUGAACGCUGGCGGCGUGCCUAAUACAUGCAAGUCGAGCGAACGGACGAGAAGCUUGCUUCUCUGAUGUUAGCGGCGGACGGGUGAGUAACAUGUGGAUAACCUACCUAUAAGACUGGGAUAACUUCGGGAAACCGUAGCUAAUACCGGAUAAUAUUUUGAACCGCAUGGUUCAAAAGUGAAAGACGGUCUUGCUGUCACUUAUAGAUGGAUCCGCGCUGCAUUAGCUAGUUGGUAAGGUAACGGCUUACCAAGGCAACGAUGCAUAGCCGACCUGAGAGGGUGAUCGGCCACACUGGAACUGAGACACGGUCCAGACUCCUACGGGAGGCAGCAGUAGGGAAUCUUCCGCAAUGGGCGAAAGCCUGACGGAGCAACGCCGCGUGAGUGAUGAAGGUCUUCGGAUCGUAAAACUCUGUUAUUAGGGAAGAACAUAUGUGUAAGUAACUGUGCACAUCUUGAUGGUACCUAAUCAGAAAGCCACGGCUAACUACGUG
This 497-nucleotide ribosomal RNA is filed under the name uncultured bacterium. RNAcentral's name for it is "partial 16S ribosomal RNA". It matches the Rfam family "Bacterial small subunit ribosomal RNA", at positions 28 to 507 of the family's 1533-position model. The record is from RNAcentral.